UACGAAGGGUACUAGCGUUGUUCGGAAUCACUGGGCGUAAAGCGCGCGCAGGCGGCUACUCAAGUCAGGGGUGAAAUCCUUGGGCUUAACCCAAGAAUUGCCUUUGAAACUGUGUAGCUGGAGUGUCGGAGGGGAUAGCGGAAUUCCUAAUGUAGCGGUGAAAUGCGUAGAUAUUAGGAGGAACACCGGUGGCGAAGGCGGCUAUCUGGACGACAACUGACGCUGAGGCGCGAAAGCGUGGGGAUCAAACAGG
RNAcentral lists this ribosomal RNA (253 nucleotides) under uncultured bacterium. RNAcentral's name for it is "partial 16S ribosomal RNA". It matches the Rfam family "Bacterial small subunit ribosomal RNA", at positions 524 to 776 of the family's 1533-position model. The record is from RNAcentral.